RNAcentral lists this ribosomal RNA (2380 nucleotides) under Triticum aestivum (bread wheat). RNAcentral's name for it is "partial small subunit ribosomal RNA". The record is from RNAcentral. Lineage: Eukaryota; Viridiplantae; Streptophyta; Magnoliopsida; Poales; Poaceae.
UUAGCGAGCUAAGUGUCCUAGGCCUACCUGGGGAAGGCCAGAGGAGACAGAAAUCCACUCGCACGAGUUUUAGGGGGAGCUGGGGCCGACGUAGUCCGCUGAGUCGCUGGGGUGGCGGCCGGAGGCGGGAGAGGCGUGGCCGCUGGAGGGGAGGGGAGGAGAGGGAAGGGAAGGGAAGGGGGUAUAGCUCUUCCCUCCGGUACCACGAGGGCUGUGCCGACCUAGGUCUGGUUCGGGCACCCCAAGGUCGAGCUGGAGGAGCGUCGCUGGUGCCGCCGCCCUAGGCGCCUAGGUACCGGUGCCGCCACGCUCGCGCGUCUGCGUCGGAACUCUUCCCUCCUCCGUCCCGCCGGUACCGCAAGGGCGGCGUCGGCCCAGUGACCGAGGUGGUGCUCGAGGAGCGUCAACAGUCACUGCUGCCGCCGAGGCUUGGGAUCGCCUGCGAGGACGAGCAGAAGGAGGUGUGGAGACGAGCACGGGCAAAAGGAGCCGCGGUAUAAGUCGUGGAUGUUCUUGCGUCGAAGGAGAGGGCGCUGUCCCCUACCUUGAACAGUUUAGAACCAGACUUCCCUUACAAUAGAGGACUCUAACCUGUCGAAUGAUUAUACGUAAAAGAACAUGACGUGUCCUUGAACAAGAUACCGUAAUAGGGAUCUCUCUACCCUCUAAAUGCUCUCGACUUCCACAACCUAGACCCCAUGUUAUUGAAGUUACCUAGUUAAGGUAGUCUCGAUUAUUUGUAAAAUAGGGACCUUAAAUAGAAAGAAUUUUCUUUGUCUGAAAUACCACUAAAUAGAGAACUUGAUUUACUCGAGUAGUCAGACACACUCAGAGCCCAAGCGGUGCCGUCCUGAAAGAGUUUAUCCUACGGGCGACGUUCCAAACAGAUUCAAAAGAAGAUGAACGUAUAGACUCUCAAUUUGAGCACGUUCCGAACUCAAUUUAAAAGUUUAGUUUGUCCCUAAACUCGUUCGAACUAAAACCAAUUUUUUAGGGUAGGACAAGGACGUUAGUGUACAUACAAUUACUAUAGACUUUAUAAACUCUUAAUAGACAAAGCUGAGUUCUUUACAGUCUGAAGAAAAUCCUUGUAAAGGAGGUGUUUUACCAUUUAAUAUACGCUCAGCCGUAGGGGCUUUGGGUCGGGUUUAGGGGUGUAUAUUGGAGUGAGGCCUGCUUGGGAUCUGGGUUUAGAGAUCUGUUACGGUACAACUUUCUAUCCGAACGCUUCUAAGCCGAGUUCUUAAGGACUCCCAUGAAGACAGAAAUAAUAUAAACAAGAGUGUGGAACCCGCAACACAAAAGGGCGGCGUUGCGUGCGCAGCUGGGCGUCAGAGUAUAAUUCACUUGGUCUUCGCCAUGUACGCUAUCUUUUCUUUUUGUUUGGGUUGGUGGUCGUGCUGGGAAGGAGAGCUAGGGUAGACCUGGAAAUCAUAAGAGCCCUAUAUAGACUAAUACUUCUACAAGGCAUAACGAGACCUCGGCUGUUGAAAAACCUGACGAGCUACAGAUAUUGGUUACUCUGAUGAAAAAACCAACAACCGACCUCCGACCUCGAUAGUGAUACUGACUUUAAAAGAAAAGUGGUUUCAUUUAAAUAUACCAGUAGUUUUUGGUUGCUGUCCAGUUGUGAACAGUCGUCAAACGUUAAACAUAAUGUCAUACGCAUUCGGUUACCAGUCUGUAACAACAAAAUCAAUCCUUUACAUCUUUGCACAAGUACUAAAUACAUCUAACCUGUCAGGGAAGUUUGACAUCAUAAGCUAGAACUCGCCUGUUAGAUUGAUAUACAAAGGAAUAUCUUUUAACUGAUAUACAAGGUACUUAACUGACUAAUCAAACCGGGCUAGUCUAAUUUGAUCCAGAACUAAACUUCCAGGUCAAUCCCGUCGACCACGACCAAACAAACAACAUUAUGAUUGAUACGAUAAAUCUGUCUCUGUACACCAGAAAGAGUAAGGAGCUGUAAAAGGAAACGAUGGUUCUAAAAAGUAAGAUCCAACACUUUUUUGCCUACAUCGUAAGGAAGAUGUUCAACAGUACUCGACCCUGUAUCUUCUUCUCUCGGCUGUUCUUCAACGUGUCGCCAAGCGAGACCACAGCGACGGUUACCGCAACGCGUUUCACGUCUAACGUCCGAUCUACGCAUGCUCAGGCAGGGAUGCAGGUGCUACAGCUUCGUAUCCUUUAGUUCAGUUAAUCUAUCAUAUAGACCAAUACUUUCAACAGAAAACACAUGCGUCAAAACGGUAAUAAAACAUUUUCGAAACUCAAAAACUAUUACAUUAACAGAAUGAUUAUUGUGAAAAUUAGUUAAGCACGGUUCCGAUUAUCGGUUCAAUACGUGUUUAACAAGUACAAAGGAACUACUGACGAUAAC